CCUGGGAGUCUUGCCGACACCCCUAGCCCUCCACCCCACACACAGCCCACAUGCCGGUCUCCAGGGGCCGUGGCUGGAGAUUCCGAAUCCUACCGGCCACUUCCCCUGAGUACACUCCCAGCUGAAGGCGUCUGGCUGGGCCUGGGCGGACUCGGGGGCUUUGUUCCCUUUUCUCCGUUUGCCCGCCCAUGGCGUUGCUGCCACGCUGAUGGAGCGCCCUCUCAUCCGGCACCUGCCCGGCCUCUUUCCUGAGCCCAGCUCUGUCCAUGCAGAUGUGGGUGCUUUCUGCAUUGGGGGUCCCACCGGGAGGAGCCAACAGUACCCCUGGUAGAGUUGGGAAAGAACUCCUUCCUCACGUUACUGCCAGAAAAUGACCAUAGCAGCUUCACAAACCCCGCAGGAACCUGUCUUCCUAAAGAAAUGGAGCCCAUGAGGUGGCCGAGCCUCAGGUGUGGUCCUUAUGCACAGCACAGCCCAAGCCUGUGGGCACAACUCGCCCUGGGCUGCCUGGCACCUGGACUCUUUCCUAUCCUCGGCCCAGGCCUGUGUGGCCCUGUAGGGCCAAACCCGACACUGUCUUCCUCCUGGGUCCGCUCCCUGGGCCUCCUGCACCCCAGACUGCUUCAUGGCCUCUGCAGGGAGCUUCACAGAGGUGAGACUGGUGCCAUCUGUCUGCUUCAGACCACCCCAGGCUCUGCGUACCCUCACAGUCCCCUCUGCGCUCCUCUACGGGGUGGGGAAGCCCUUCCCAUCAGGUCAGCACCAGCCUGGCCACCUUGUUUCUGCUGCCCCCUCCUCUUCAGGCCCCCAGACCAGACUUUAGUUACUUGCUGCUGCCGGGCAGAACUGGAGGCCUUGUCUUGCACAACCUCCACAACCUCCAGGCAUCAUCUCAGCUGACAGUGACGCCAUCCUGGGGAAGACCCCCCGGAUCCCGGGCUCUCCUGGAAGCCUGUGAUGCUCCUUCACCACAGCCCCUGUCCCUUCAUAGGUCCCAUAAGCCAGUGGUGCAGGGAUCUGGCCUUUCUCUCCUGUGUCUGCCUCCUGCAGAACCAUGAGCAGCUUCAGGGCCGAGGCAGUGCCUUUCCAUCCGUGAAUCUCCUGAGCCAUCAGAAUACUCGAGAGAGAGUGAUGCCCAAGAAAUACUGACUGAGUGUAUUCAUGAAAGAAUUAAUGUUCUUACAGGAUCACUUGUUGUUGAACUGACCUGACAUGUGUAUAGUGAUCUCAUGAACAAGAGGGAAGCUGUGCAUCCAUUCACUUCAAUUGGAUUUAGCAAUCGCAGUAGGAUAAUGAUAUUUCCACAAUGUAUAUGCUCUGUCCCUUUAAAUUUAACUUUUUGCUUUUUAGACAGAAGCUCAUCAGUCUUAGGGAGUUCUGAAGGCGGAUUUCUCAGCCGCGUUCAAGCUGACGAGUUCGCCAGUUCUGCCCCAGACAGUGCAGAGCGGCAGAAUCUUCCUGUAAACCCACCAUCUUCCCUGGAAAUAGCACAGGCCAUGGACACUAAGAUGAAAAAGGAGGAAGUACAGGAAGAAAAACGACAUCCAAAGGGCAAGGCAGAUGACUGCCGGCGGUCCGGUUUCCCGAGUGAAUUUCCAGGAGCUCUGCACGCCGCUCCCUCCAGACAGGACAUGGGGCCCUGACCUGGAGGCCAGGCGUUUCUAGCAUUGUUGACUGCCAGUUUAUUCCCAGUAAAUAAAGCAAUACGCUUUUCAGGAGGAA
This 1722-nucleotide long non-coding RNA is filed under the name Homo sapiens (human). RNAcentral describes it as "non-protein coding lnc-TCP10-1:3". The record is from RNAcentral. Lineage: Eukaryota; Metazoa; Chordata; Mammalia; Primates; Hominidae.